This 24-nucleotide unclassified non-coding RNA is filed under the name Arabidopsis thaliana (thale cress). Lineage: Eukaryota; Viridiplantae; Streptophyta; Magnoliopsida; Brassicales; Brassicaceae. The record is from RNAcentral.
AAAUCAACUCAAUUAAGUCAGUAA